UUCGCUUCAGCAGCCCGUGGAGAGAAACUGCGCCGCCUCGCCGCGCCUCGCUCUCAAGUCUGCGGGCGUCUUUGUCCCGCGAGAUUUCAACGUCUCAUGUAGGCGAGCCUCCAGAGCAAGUCGGACAAAAUAACUAACCAUCAUGCAACCUAUGCAUGCAACGCAGUUGAACGCACUAGCAAGACGGCGAUCGCAAUUGCGCAGGUCUGCGUCGUUCUCGCUCGUCUCAAACAAGCCUACUUGUGAUCAUUAUCUGCACGAAACAGCGCAAAUUGAGAGUUUUACCGGGGCGGCGGUGGACCAAUCACUGGGGCUGUCGUUGGAGGUUGGAGCUGCGUUGGAAAGCGGGAGUUUUGAUUGUUAUUUUAUUUUCCUCGGCUGGGUUUUUAUGAUACCCUUGGAUAAGAAGAUUCUGGAUUGUGGACUCUGGAUUUUCUCCCUGACCUCAUCUUUCCGCUACCAGUGGUAGGAUUUUGAGAGGACCUUACAGGAACUGAACAAAGAACUAUUUUCUUUAGGGGGUUUAUUUUACUUUUAUUUGGGGUGCACCCAAGUGUCAAGCGCUAUAAAAACAAUUGGAAUUAUUUAGAAGAAUGUUGUUUAUUCCUGUGCCAAUAUAUCGAUUUUUUUCUUUAUAAAAUCUCAGUAUUCACUUCA
Long non-coding RNA from Gymnodraco acuticeps, 657 nucleotides. RefSeq lists it as uncharacterized. Lineage: Eukaryota; Metazoa; Chordata; Actinopteri; Perciformes; Bathydraconidae. The transcript has 2 exons. The record is from RefSeq and is a predicted model, not a curated record.